CAGCUCGUGUCGUGAGAGGUUGGGUUAAGUCCCGUAACGAGCGCACCCCUUGUCCUUAGUGACCAGCUCGUUAUGGUGGGCACUCUAAGGAGACUGCCGGUGCCAAACCGGAGGAAGGUGGGGAUGACGUCAAGUCAUCAUGGCCCUUACGGCCUGGGCUACACACGUGCUACAAUGGUCGGUACAGAGGGUUGCCAAGCCGCGAGGUGGAGCUAAUCUCACAAAACCGAUCGUAGUCCGGAUCGCAGUC
Molecule: ribosomal RNA, 250 nt
Filed under: Pseudomonas caricapapayae
Lineage: Bacteria; Pseudomonadati; Pseudomonadota; Gammaproteobacteria; Pseudomonadales; Pseudomonadaceae
Description: 16S ribosomal RNA
Rfam family: Bacterial small subunit ribosomal RNA
Source: RNAcentral